UUACCCUACGGGACGCAGCAGUAGGGAAUUUUCGUCAAUGGGCGCAAGCCUGAACGAGCAAUGCCGCGUGAACGAGGAAGGUCUUCGGAUCGUAAAGUUCUGUUGAAGGGGAAAAAGAGCGGAGAGAGGAAAUGGUCUCCGAUUGAUAUUACCCUUCGAGGAAGUCACGGCUAACUACGUGCCAGCAGCCGCGGUAAUACGUAGGUGGCGAGCGUUAUCCGGAAUGAUUGGGCGUAAAGGGUGCGUAGGCGGCAUAGCAAGUCUGAAGUGAAAGCCCGUGGCUCAACCGCGGAACUGCUUUGGAA
Molecule: ribosomal RNA, 305 nt
Filed under: uncultured bacterium
Lineage: Bacteria
Description: bacterial SSU rRNA
Rfam family: Bacterial small subunit ribosomal RNA
Source: RNAcentral